RNAcentral lists this ribosomal RNA (450 nucleotides) under uncultured bacterium. RNAcentral describes it as "bacterial SSU rRNA". It matches the Rfam family "Bacterial small subunit ribosomal RNA", at positions 354 to 796 of the family's 1533-position model. The record is from RNAcentral.
GUGGGGAAUUUUGGACAAUGGGCGCAAGCCUGAUCCAGCCAUGCCGCGUGUAUGAAGAAGGCCUUCGGGUUGUAAAGUACUUUUGUUGGGGAAGAAAAGGUGUGUGCUAAUACCACAUACUGAUGACGGUACCCAAAGAAUAAGCACCGGCUAACUACGUGCCAGCAGCCGCGGUAAUACGUAGGGUGCGAGCGUUAAUCGGAAUUACUGGGCGUAAAGCGAGCGCAGACGGUUAGUUAAGCAAGAUGUGAAAUCCCCGGGCUCAACCUGGGAACAGCGUUUUGAACUGGCUGACUAGAGUAUGUCAGAGGGGGGUAGAAUUCCACGUGUAGCAGUGAAAUGCGUAGAGAUGUGGAGGAAUACCGAUGGCGAAGGCAGCCCCCUGGGAUAAUACUGACGUUCAUGCUCGAAAGCGUGGGUAGCAAACAGGAUUAGAAACCCUAGUAGUCC